UGCCUAACACAUGCAAGUCGAGCGGUAGCAGGCCUUCGGGCGCUGACGAGCGGCGGACGGGUGAGGAACACGUAGGAAUCUGCCUUGUAGUGGGGGAUAGCCCAGAGAAAUUUGGAGUAAUACCGCAUAUACCCCGAGGGGGAAAGUGGGGGACCGCAAGGCCUCACGCUAUGAGAGGAGCCUGCGUCGGAUUAGCUAGUUGGUGGGGUAAAGGCUCACCAAGGCGACGAUCCGUAGCUGGUCUGAGAGGAUGAUCAGCCACACUGGGACUGAGACACGGCCCAGACUCCUACGGGAGGCAGCAGUGGGGAAUAUUGGACAAUGGGCGAAAGCCUGAUCCAGCCAUGCCGCGUGUGCGAAGAAGGCCUUCGGGUUGUAAAGCAC
Molecule: ribosomal RNA, 384 nt
Filed under: uncultured organism
Description: bacterial SSU rRNA
Rfam family: Bacterial small subunit ribosomal RNA
Source: RNAcentral